This 153-nucleotide ribosomal RNA is filed under the name uncultured bacterium. RNAcentral's name for it is "partial 16S ribosomal RNA". It matches the Rfam family "Bacterial small subunit ribosomal RNA", at positions 118 to 271 of the family's 1533-position model. The record is from RNAcentral.
UGGGCAACCUGCCCCUAGCUCUGGGAUAACUGCGGGAAACUGUAGCUAAUACCGGAUGUGACACGGGACUGCAUGGUCUUCGUGUGGAAAGAUUUAUCGGCUAGGGAUGGGCCCGCGGUCUAUCAGCUUGUUGGUGGGUAAUGGCUCAACCCG